GUCUAGGGCCAUACCACCCUGAACGUGCCUAAUCUCGUCUGAUCUCUGAAGCUAAGCAGGGUUGGGCCUGGUUAGUACUUGGAUGGCAGAUACCUGGCUAUGCCAAUCUACUGGACACCUUGGGGCCUAAGAAC
This 134-nucleotide ribosomal RNA is filed under the name Prolemur simus (greater bamboo lemur). Lineage: Eukaryota; Metazoa; Chordata; Mammalia; Primates; Lemuridae. The record is from RNAcentral.